CAAUAAGCGGAGGAAAAGAAACCAACAGGGAUUGCCUCAGUAACGGCGAGUGAAGUGGCAACAGCUCAAAUUUUAAAUCUGGUCCUUUUCAGGGCUCGAGUUGUAAUUUGUAGAGGACGUUUCGGGUUUGGCCCUAGCCUAAGUUCCUUGGAACAGGACGUCACAGAGGGUGAGAAUCCCGUAUGUGGCUGGUGGUCUAUGCCUAUGUGAAGCUCCCUCGACGAGUCGAGUUGUUUGGGAAUGCAGCUCAAAAUGGGUGGUAAGUUUCAUCUAAAGCUAAAUACUGGCGGGAGACCGAUAGCGCACAAGUAGAGUGAUCGAAAGAUGAAAAGCACUUUGGAAAGAGAGUUAAAAAGUACGUGAAAUUGUUGAAAGGGAAGCGCUUGCGACCAGACUUGCCCUUGGUUGAUCAACCUGGUGUUUCUCACCGGUGCACUCUGCUGAGGUCAGGCCAGCAUCGGUUUGGGCGGUUGGAGAAAGGCCGUGGGAAUGUGACUUCCUUCGGGGAGUGUUAUAGCCCUUGGUGUCAUGCGACCAGCCUGGACUGAGGACCGCGCCUUUAGUGGCUAGGAUGCUGGCAUAAUGGUCGUAAGCGACCCGUCUUGAAACACGGACCAAGGAGUCUAACAUCUAUGCGAGUGUUUGGGUGUCAAACCCACACGCGUAAUGAAAGUGAACGGAGGUGGGAACCCUCAAGGGGUGCACCAUCGACCGAUCCUGAUGUCUUCGGAUGGAUUUGAGUAAGAGCAUAGCUGUUGGGACCCGAAAGAUGGUGAACUAUGCCUGAAUAGGGUGAAGCCAGAGGAAACUCUGGUGGAGGCUCGCAGCGGUUCUGACGUGCAAAUCGAUCGUCAAAUUUGGGUAUAGGGGCGAAAGACUAAUC
Molecule: ribosomal RNA, 883 nt
Filed under: Trichoglossum rasum
Lineage: Eukaryota; Fungi; Ascomycota; Geoglossomycetes; Geoglossales; Geoglossaceae
Description: eukaryotic LSU rRNA
Rfam family: Eukaryotic large subunit ribosomal RNA
Source: RNAcentral